UAUGGUUGCUGUGUGUUAGUGGAUGAAAUUGUGCAAAAACCCUCUGGCUUGCUUUCCGUGAUUUCAGAUAAGCGACCUCCCUGCUCAUAUUUGAGCCGUUAUGUACUAACCACUCGCAGAUGCUACUGCAUCCUUUCAAGGCUUCCAUUCUUUGAACUGCAUUUUGGUGUAUUAAACAGCAUCUUGACAGAAGAAAGGUUGGAACGGUUAACAAAAGAUGUUGGUGUCUUGGACUUUGAGUUCAUUGAGGGUUCUAUCAAAGAAGAAAUAUUAGGGGACAAUUUAGAUGGUAUAUCACCAAAUUGUAGAGAUGCAGAGGAAAUGCUUGAUGGAACAGCACAAAAUUUCCAAUCAAGCUCAAGAGAUUCUGCACCUGGAGACGACGUUGAUAACGGGAGUCACCUGGAGCAUCAAAUUCUUGAGGGGCAUAUUGACUUGUCAAACAAUGGGAAUGAUGAAAAUGUUGUUGUUCCAGUUGAUUCUGAAAUGGAGAUAGCCUUUGACAAAGGAGAAUCUGGCGGUAGAAACCUUGAAGAUUGUGAAACUGAUGUUGAUGAUUUAUCCAACAAACAAGCGGAAGAAAGACGUUUACCAAAUGCUGUGCUGCCUCUCCUGCGCUAUUAUCAGUAUGAAAGCUCAGAAUCUUCCUCAAGUUUCCAGGGUUCUCCUAGUGAAGAUCGGAACUUUAGGAGUGAUGUUGAUGAUACAGAGACAGAAGAGGCAUCCUUUUCUGGCCAGGAGGAUUCUAAUGAUCACAUGGAUAUUCUUGAAUGGGCANNNNNCAAACAAAUAUGGAUCAUUGCAGAUAAUAUGCGAGUAUUACCAGUUGCAUUGUCCUUCUAGG
This 844-nucleotide unclassified non-coding RNA is filed under the name Hevea brasiliensis (rubber tree). The record is from RNAcentral. Lineage: Eukaryota; Viridiplantae; Streptophyta; Magnoliopsida; Malpighiales; Euphorbiaceae.